Molecule: non-coding RNA, 30 nt
Filed under: Homo sapiens (human)
Lineage: Eukaryota; Metazoa; Chordata; Mammalia; Primates; Hominidae
Source: RNAcentral
UCCCCCAAGAACAGGGAUCACAUUCUCAGC